UCCGGUAUGGUGUAAUGGCUAUCACGGUUCGCUUUCACCGAGCAAAUCAGGGUUCGAUUCCCUGUACCGGAG
This 72-nucleotide transfer RNA is filed under the name Diutina rugosa. RNAcentral's name for it is "Candida rugosa tRNA". It matches the Rfam family "tRNA". From Rfam's summary of the family: Transfer RNA (tRNA) molecules are approximately 80 nucleotides in length. Their secondary structure includes four short double-helical elements and three loops (D, anti-codon, and T loops). RNAcentral also lists the same sequence under 1 other name. Lineage: Eukaryota; Fungi; Ascomycota; Pichiomycetes; Serinales; Debaryomycetaceae. The record is from Rfam by way of RNAcentral.